This 216-nucleotide long non-coding RNA is filed under the name Gossypium raimondii (Peruvian cotton). RNAcentral's name for it is "long non-coding RNA (GRAI_LNC003940)". The record is from RNAcentral. Lineage: Eukaryota; Viridiplantae; Streptophyta; Magnoliopsida; Malvales; Malvaceae.
CAGGUCUUGUUUAGGGACUUUCUCCCACUUAAUAUUUUAAAAUUUUAAUUUUCUGUUUCAAUCAUGUAUGAUCAAUAUAUGCAUGACAAGUACAUGUGGCUUUCUUUCCUAAACUAUAUGGCAUGUUUAUCUCAUGUAUGCAUGACAUGCUAUGGUAAUUUUAUAAUAUUUACAUUCAUUCAUUCAUAAAAAUCAACAUUUUGAUUUUCUACAGUU